UUUUCUCCACUGCAGUGACCUCCUUAAGCAGCAGAGGCCACUAAGAGUCUUCCCGUUUGUCCCUGGACCCCGUCCCGCCAGAAGGCGGAAACAGUGAGGAGAUUCAGGCCAGGGCCCAGAAGAGAAAGGGCCUUUGUUCUCCCCGGAGCCGAAUCGCGCUGGCUUUCACACACACACACAGACACACAGACAACGGACACUUAGCCCUCUGUGUUUCUGGUUCUCAGUAUUCACAGACGGUGACCCAGGGCAAGGACGACGGAAGGGGAACAGCAUCUUGUGUGCAGAACCCGCCCGGAAUUCAGUGCCGUCAUUUGUAAAAAUCCUUCCAGGAAGAGGAAGUGAGGGCCCCAGCGGCAGAAAGGCCCACGGGGGGAACAGGUGGAAACCACCAAGGCAAACGUCCGUCCGUGCAGCACCCGAGACGCGAGAUUCUGUUCAGCCCCGUGCCGGCCGUGUGUGCGUGCCAGGCCGGUCCCCACCAGUGUUCGCAACCCUGCCGUAGGAGGCACCUCCAGGACUCUGCUGUCCUGACCGAAGCUACGCAAACCGGCCUCACGAUGGAUCGGCCCCCGGUGAGGCACCCUCUCGGAUUCUCGAGCAGACGGUGUGCCCCCUGCCCCGCGGGCUGUAAGUCAGACUGAGUCGCCUGUUGAAUCCCAAAAACCACCCAACAUUUUCAAGAGUAAACAUUUCCUAAACAGCAACAGCUGUGGGGCAGCAUUUAGCUGAAGCAGGACCCGGGUCCUGACCUCGCAGUUCCCAGGAUCGCUGCCUGAAGGGGAACAGCAUUGUUAGCCUAACAGACUUUACGUGGAGUUAGUCCUGCAUUAUUCCAGACGCGGUUGUCUAAACCCGGGGGAACGUGGCAGCCUCUCGGGGCCUGUGCAAUACUAUUUAAAUGGCUCUACGAUGCUGAUACCGUGGUGGACACGAUGUGCAUUUUGAUAAGCGCAAUGGUAUCAUUACUGCUCAGAGUUUAGAGAGUUUCCGGAUUAUGCCACCGGAGCAGAAGGAAAUGUCUGCAGAAUGAACUACCAAGGUGAGCAUCCGGUUUGCAGAGACACCAGAGGACCCAGGUCUGGAUCUCACUGCUCAAUGUGCCUGAGAACUGCAGAACUCCGGGCAGAUGGGACUACCCAAACCCGGGCACUGGGACCUGGAGCCUGUGAGGCUGUGUCCUGGGGGAGCGCUGGACCCACCCGCGAAAGUCCCGUAAGAAGCCGGGAGCCUCCAGGAGAAUUCACCAUCCAGCCAGCGCAUGACCCCACUUAGAGCAUUUACUGGAAAGGACUCGGAGCCCUGACCGCUAUCUCUGGGAUGUGUACGCCCCUCCCACCCACAGGAGCAUCUUGCCCAAGGACCUGAGAGCCGUUCCUUAGAAACGGAAUCAUCAGGAGGGACCUCCGUGUCCUGGUCCCUGCAGAGAGGGUGGGGUCCCAACUCAGGUCACGGCCAGCAGGCAGGCACGCCCGUCUCCUCGCAUUAACACUGUGCAGCCCUCUGCGGGUGGUCACUGUGCCCACUUCCCCAUCCCUCCUCCCUCAGUGCCCCUUGAAAACACCAUCACCUCGCACAAAUGCCACUCUGUGCCCUGGCUCCUUCUCUACUGUCAGGAGGGACAACAAAACCUGGUGUCACCACGGUGAUGUCCAGCAGUGACGGCCUGACGUGCUUCGGAGGUCAGCAGUUCAGGCACCCACAGCCGUGCCUUUCCCGUGGCAGGAGACCAGGGGCCCCCACCGUGUCUUCUGGGCUGCGCUGACAACCUGGCUUCACACCCACCCCCCUCACGACAGGGCAUCAGCCUCUCUGACUGCUCCUUACGGCACACAUCACAUCCUUCGUCAGGUUUGUGCAGCUGACUUGAAGGGAGGGGACCCCACCACAGUGGGGGUGGACCGAGGAGCCCCUGGGCCGGGGCUGAAGUCUCUACUCCAUGCUGAGGCGUCAGCAUGCUCCCGGAGAGUCUGAGGGGACGGCGAGGGACGUCCCUCAGACAGACGCUCGGCGUGACAACAGCCGAGGCCUCGCGGUCUGUGAACAGAGUCUGAAACCCCAGCGGUGUCUGUGCACUGAGCCUCUGGUCCGUGGUUCUCGAGCAAUCCCUGCAGUGGGCCGCUCUGGGGGGCAUGACUCCAGGCCACAUCCACGUGAGGGGUGAGUCACCCCCACCGUGCGGGGCGGGAGGCCGAGGGCACAGGGGGCUAGUGAACGUGCCCACGGCCAGAGGACGGUCGGGCAGCCCUCACACGGUCUGGCCUCCGCCACGCUUACUCAGCCUGUGAGUAAUAACCACACGAC
This is a long non-coding RNA of Acinonyx jubatus (cheetah), 2304 nucleotides long. RefSeq lists it as uncharacterized. NCBI's taxonomy places the organism in Eukaryota, Metazoa, Chordata, Mammalia, Carnivora, Felidae. The record is from RefSeq and is a predicted model, not a curated record. The transcript is spliced from 3 exons.